RNAcentral lists this ribosomal RNA (466 nucleotides) under uncultured bacterium. RNAcentral describes it as "partial 16S ribosomal RNA". It matches the Rfam family "Bacterial small subunit ribosomal RNA", at positions 28 to 507 of the family's 1533-position model. The record is from RNAcentral.
GACGAACGCUGGCGGCGCGCCUAACACAUGCAAGUCGAACGAGCGAGAGAGAGCUUGCUUUCUCGAGCGAGUGGCGAACGGGUGAGUAACGCGUGAGGAACCUGCCUCAAAGAGGGGGACAACAGUUGGAAACGACUGCUAAUACCGCAUAAGCCCACGGUGCCGCAUGGCACAGAGGGAAAAGGAGCAAUCCGCUUUGAGAUGGCCUCGCGUCCGAUUAGCUAGUUGGUGAGGUAAUGGCCCACCAAGGCGACGAUCGGUAGCCGGACUGAGAGGUUGAACGGCCACAUUGGGACUGAGACACGGCCCAGACUCCUACGGGAGGCAGCAGUGGGGAAUAUUGCACAAUGGGGGAAACCCUGAUGCAGCGACGCCGCGUGGAGGAAGAAGGUCUUCGGAUUGUAAACUCCUGUUGUUGGGGAAGAUAAUGGCGGUACCCAACAAGGAAGUGACGGCUAACUACGUG